CCUACGGGAGGCAGCAGUCGAGAAUCAUUCACAAUGGGGGAAACCCUGAUGGUGCGACGCCGCGUGGGGGAGUGAAGGUCUUCGGAUUGUAAACCCCUGUCAUGUGGGAGCAAAUUAAAAAGAUAGUACCACAAGAGGAAGACACGGCUAACUCUGUGCCAGCAGCCGCGGUAAUACAGAGGUCUCAAGCGUUGUUCGGAAUCACUGGGCGUAAGGCGUUCGGAGGCUGUUUCGUAAGUCGUGUGUGAAAGGCGCGGGCUCAACCCGCGGACGGCACAUGAUACUGCGAGACUAGAGUAAUGGAGGGGGAACCGGAAUUCUCGGUGUAGCAGUGAAAUGCGUAGAUAUCGAGAGGAACACUCGUGGCGAAGGCGGGUUCCUGGACAUUAACUGACGCUGAGGCACGAAGGCCAGGGGAGCGAAAGGGAUUAGAUACCCCUGUAGUC
RNAcentral lists this ribosomal RNA (446 nucleotides) under uncultured bacterium. Its description in RNAcentral is "partial 16S ribosomal RNA". It matches the Rfam family "Bacterial small subunit ribosomal RNA", at positions 338 to 795 of the family's 1533-position model. The record is from RNAcentral.